GACGAACGCUGGCGGCGUGCUUAACACAUGCAAGUCGAACGGAAAGGCCCUGCUUUUGUGGGGUGCUCGAGUGGCGAACGGGUGAGUAACACGUGAGUAACCUGCCCUUGACUUUGGGAUAACUUCAGGAAACUGGGGCUAAUACCGGAUAGGAGCUCCUGCUGCAUGGUGGGGGUGGGAAAGUUUCGGCGGUGGGGGAUGGACUCGGGGCUUAUCAGCUUGUUGGUGGGGUAGUGGCUUACCAAGGCUUUGACGGGUAGCCGGCCUGAGAGGGUGACCGGCCCCAUGGGGACUGGGGUGCGGCCCACACCCUUCCGGGGGGCAGGGGGGGGGAUUUUUCCCAAAGGGGCGGAAGCCUGUGGCAGCAACCCCGCGGGCGGGAUGACGGCCUUCGGGUUUUAACCCCUUUUCGCCUGUGACGAGGCGGGAGUGACGGUAAUGGGUAAAGAAGCCCCGGUUAACUCCGU
RNAcentral lists this ribosomal RNA (467 nucleotides) under uncultured bacterium. Its description in RNAcentral is "partial 16S ribosomal RNA". It matches the Rfam family "Bacterial small subunit ribosomal RNA", at positions 28 to 506 of the family's 1533-position model. The record is from RNAcentral.